Long non-coding RNA from Myotis myotis, 3062 nucleotides. RefSeq lists it as uncharacterized. The transcript is spliced from 4 exons. The record is from RefSeq and is a predicted model, not a curated record. NCBI's taxonomy places the organism in Eukaryota, Metazoa, Chordata, Mammalia, Chiroptera, Vespertilionidae.
GCGGGCUGGAGGCUGCCGGCAGCGGCGCACCUGUCAGCGGCGCCGGGCCCCGGACCGCCCGCUGGAGGAGCCGGGAGGACGGGACCGGCAGGGGGAGGUGUGCCCGCCGCCCCGGCCGCCCCCCUGCGCCCCGGCGGCCGUCGGAGAUGGAAGCCUGCUUCGUCGGUCAGUGCAGUCAGGGUCAGUGGGAAAAUAAUUUAGAGCAAAACCCUGAGCGGGAGUUUUGCCCCCGGGCCAGCGGGAAGCCGGUCCUGUUUUAAGUAGCGACUUGCAGGGAUGCUGUGAAAAAUGGUGUCAGAAAACUUCUCCUAAGUCCACGUUACUGAAGCCAGGGUGAUUUGGACCUUUGAGGGAGUGAUUUCAAAAAGUUAGAUGUUUGUUUCCGUGAUUUAAUGUUCAAAAUAAGGUACAACACCGAAGCCCCAGGAGAAGUUGUCCACAUUCAGCCUACUGGCCCGCAGACUCUAUCCACUGAGCCAAACCGGUUUCGGCCCAACCUGUUUCUUAAACAUUUAUUGCUACUGUGUACUACUCUUGAGUGUAUGUGUCUUCUUUUAUAGACAACACUAGAGGCCCAGUGCAUGAAAUUCAUGCACGGAGGGGGCGGUGCAGACUCUCAGCCCGGCUUGCGUCCUCUAGCAAUCCAGGACCCCUCAGUGGAUGUCGGGCCUAAACCGGCAGUCGAACAUCCCUCUCACAAUCCUGGACGCUGCAUGUACCAGUGACCAUACUUUUCAUACCGGAAUUUAUCCUACCUUGGUACUUGCAAACAGACUCGUGACCUUUUUGCAAAACCAGAGUUUAGGAACCACCACCUGUCUAUCAAUUGAAUACUAUGAGUCCAUUAAAAAUAUUGAGAUGGGGAGCUCUGGCAGAAAAAGUGUUCUGGCCCGUGUGCAGUGACGCCGUUCUCUCUGCCAAGGGAUCAAGUUAAAAUCCGCUUUCCUGGAAACCAGCUCAUGUCUUUAGGAAGCAUGACCCUAAUUAGGGAGAGAUUGGGACCUUUGGAUAAAGAAGGGAUAGGAAAAUAUUUUUCAGCUUUCGCUGAUAUAGUAACUUACAAGGGUAAAAUAUGAACACUGCCCUAGCACGUUUAGUUCAGUGGAUAGAGCUUUAGCAAGCGGAAUAAAGGGUCCCGGGUUCGGUUCCAGCCAAGGGCACAUGCGCAGGUUGUGGGCUCGAUCCCCAGUAGGGGGUGUGCAGGAGGCAGCCAAUCAAUGAUUCUCUGUCAUCAUUGAUGUUUCUGUCUCCCCUCCUCUCUGAAAUCAAUAAAGAAAUCUAUUUUUAAAAUAAAUAAAUAUGAGCACCAACAAAUAAUUUAAAAAUGGGAUCUCCUGUUUCUGAGAUCUAAACUCAGGAUCACAGAUUUGAUAAGGUCUUCCUUGAAUCUUAGGUAACCCUAAAGUGUUUUCAACAACAUGUUGAGGAGACAACAAACAUAUAUCUCACAUUCCACAGGAUAUAUAGGGAAAGAGGCAUAAGCAUAACACAAUUGAUUUCCUAUUGCCCCUCGGGAAUUUGGGGGUUGUGAGAAGUUCUGUAAAAUCCAGAAAGCCCAGGACAUUAUUAUAGUCCACUAUUAACAUGGCUAAGGGGAAAAGAAUGAAACUUGGGUGAGGUUAGGAACCUGAGUUAUGUGCCUAGAUAGGCCCUGACUCACGCUGUGAUGAUGGCCAGUCACUUCCUGGCUCAGUGUUCCAGUCCCCCUAUCCCCCAGCCCCUUUGCCUGCCCAAGUAAAAUAAAAUAACAAUUUUAUUCUUUCUUAAGAAAGUUAAACCUGAUUGUUUCUAUAAAGCACUCUGGAAAAUAGCCAGCCUCUGAGUGUAGCAAUGUGAGAUGAUUUUAUUCAUUUUAUAACCAAUGUCCUGGGUGAUACCUAAACCAUGAGGACUAUAAACUUCUUUAUUUUUGUUGGAAUCCUCAGUUGGGGAGGAAAUACAUAGGUGUUCCGCUUCCUCUUCUGUCUCUUCUGGCUUCUGGGAAUGACACUGUUGUGUUGCUAAAAGGUCCCUGGGGAGAUAUUUGGGAGAUAACUGGGUAACACCCAACUAGGUCAGGGAAUGAGUCAGGGCUCAAGGACUCCAUACCAACCUCUCCCACUCCUGCCAGGAAACCUCCUGGGGUGAGACAGAGAUGAGAAGGGAGCCAAGGGGCGGGCCUCAGGGCUGCCUGCCCUGGGGCCUCUGGCUGGCUAUUUCACCCUAGUUUGCCCUGCAGCUGGACUGCGUCUGCUGACGUGCAAGCCGUGACACACUCUUGCUGACGUGCAAGCCGUGACACACUCCCCCUCCCUCUCUCCUGAACCUCUGCUCAGUCCCAGAAACAGAUGGCCCAUCCCUCCCCAGAAGUGACUACAGGAGAGAUGAGAAGGAAAGGGAAGAACCGAACCAGGUGGAGAUCUAUCCCUUCAGAAACACAGGGCAAAAUACAAGAGGCAUUUGUCUAGGAGGUGAAGAGGAAGCAGAAACUGCAUUCUCCUCUGACGAAUCAGGACAAGAACAGAAGAGCAUCGUGGCCGGGCUGACACAGAUGAUAGAACAGGAUUGAGAGCUAAGGCUGAGAAGGACCAAGUAAUAUUAGCCUGAAAUCCUGUAAGACUCAAGAGCAAAAUGGCAAUAAAUAAAUAAAUAAAUAGUCACAAUUCUUGUUUGGAGGUCCUCAGCUCUUGCAAAUCCCUCUCUCUUUCAUCACCAUCAAUCCCAGUUGGUGGCAAUUCUUAGACCUCUCCUCCAGGACAAAAAACAAAACCAUUUUAGGCACCUAAUGUCUCCCAGUCACGUUUCCAUAAAUGAUUUCACGUAGUAGUGCUCACAACAGCCUUACCAGGCAAGUUUUAUUAUCAUCGCCAUUUCACAGAGGGGUACACUGAGACUUUAAUCACUUAGAGGAUUAAAGUGAUUUGUUCAUAGAGUUUGGAAGUCGUGGGGUCUGUACCAGUUACCAGAGUCGCCAGAGAUUCCAUUAUACCAAAUUGCCUUUGAUAUAAAGUCAAAUCAAGUCAAAAAUAGUAGAGAUUUCUUAAAGCUCCCAAGAAGCAGUAAGGAGCGGACCAAGUAAAGAG